AUGUUGAGCGAUUCUCUGAGUCGUAUGAUCAGUCGUCAGCGUAUGAGGAUGUGCCAGAUUUGUUGCAUUACACGCUCGUUUCCUGGAUGGCCCGAAACCGGGCGUUUGCAGAAGCCGAAGGAUUUUGACACAGCCUAUGACCUGGCUUUACUUCAUGAGGAUCUGGGAAAAGGAUUGAUACCGAUGAAUUCGAGUGGCAGCAGGAGAGCUACGCCACUUCCCUUACCUCUGCUGCCGAAAUCCAAGCCUACUAAAGUCACAAAGCUCCAGGAACAACCAAAGCAUGUUCAGACUGAAGGCAAGUGGUCAGCACUCCGUCAGUACCGACGAGCCAAGGGAUUAUGCUUCGUUUGUGGAGAGAGAUGGGUUCGGGGUCAUGUGUGCAAAACUUCAGUGCAGUUGCAUCAUGUUCAAGAGUUGAUCUAUUAUAUGCAGUCAGAACCAGUGCUAGAGUCUGAAAAUUCUGUCAGUGAAAGUAUAACAGCUUCAUUCCAUCAAAUGCAAAUAUCAGUGGCUGCUGUAGGGUAG
RNAcentral lists this ribosomal RNA (528 nucleotides) under Triticum aestivum (bread wheat). RNAcentral describes it as "partial small subunit ribosomal RNA". Lineage: Eukaryota; Viridiplantae; Streptophyta; Magnoliopsida; Poales; Poaceae. The record is from RNAcentral.